UACGGAGGGUGCAAGCGUUACUCGGAAUCACUGGGCGUAAAGCGCGCGCAGGCGGCCUUUUAAGUUGGAUGUGAAAGCCUACGGCUUAACCGUAGAACUGCAUCCAGAACUACUAGGCUAGAGUGUGGGAGAGGAAGAUGGAAUUAGUUGUGUAGGGGUAAAAUCCGUAGAGAUAACUAGGAAUACCAAAAGCGAAGGCAAUCUUCUGGAACACUACUGACGCUGAGGCGCGAAAGCGUGGGGAGCAAACAGGAUUAGAUACCCUGGUAGUCCACGCCCUAAACGAUGAAUGUUAGUCGUCGGGUAGCUAGUCUAUUCGGUGAUGCAGCUAACGCAUUAAACAUUCCGCCUGGGGAGUACGGUCGCAAGAUUAAAACUCAAAGGAAUAGACGGGGACCCGCACAAGUGGUGGAGCAUGUGGUUUAAUUCGAAGAUACGCGAAGAACCUUACCUAGCCUUGACAUAUAUUAGAACACUUUAGAGAUAGAGUGGUGCCUUCGGGAGCUUUUAUACAGGUGCUGCACGGCUGUCGUCAGCUCGUGUCGUGAGAUGUUGGGUUAAGUCCCGCAACGAGCGCAACCCUCGCCACUAGUUACUAACGGUUCGGCCGAGGACUCUAGUGAGACUGCCUUCGCAAGGAGGAGGAAGGUGAGGACGACGUCAAGUCAUCAUGGCCCUUACGGCUAGGGCAACACACGUGCUACAAUGGCCAGGACAAUGAGACGCAAUACCGCGAGGUGGAGCAAAUCUAUAAACCUGGUCUCAGUUCGGAUUGUAGUCUGCAACUCGACUACAUGAAGCUGGAAUCACUAGUAAUCGUAGAUCAGCUAUGCUACGGUGAAUACGUUUCCAGGGUCU
RNAcentral lists this ribosomal RNA (858 nucleotides) under uncultured bacterium. Its description in RNAcentral is "SSU rRNA". It matches the Rfam family "Bacterial small subunit ribosomal RNA", at positions 524 to 1381 of the family's 1533-position model. The record is from RNAcentral.